GAUGAACGCUGGCGGCGUGCUUAACACAUGCAAGUCGAACGAUGAAGCCCAGCUUGCUGGGUGGAUUAGUGGCGAACGGGUGAGUAACACGUGAGUAACCUGCCCUUGACUCUGGGAUAAGCCUGGGAAACUGGGUCUAAUACUGGAUAUGACCUCUCAUCGCAUGGUGGGGGGUGGAAAGAUUUAUUGGUCUUGGAUGGACUCGCGGCCUAUCAGCUUGUUGGUGAGGUAAUGGCUCACCAAGGCGACGACGGGUAGCCGGCCUGAGAGGGUGACCGGCCACACUGGGACUGAGACACGGCCCAGACUCCUACGGGAGGCAGCAGUGGGGAAUAUUGCACAAUGGGCGCAAGCCUGAUGCAGCGACGCCGCGUGAGGGAUGACGGCCUCCGGGUUGUAAACCUCUUUCAGUAGGGAAGAAGCGAGAGUGACGGUACCUGCAGAAGAAGCGCCGGCUAACUACGUG
RNAcentral lists this ribosomal RNA (466 nucleotides) under uncultured bacterium. RNAcentral's name for it is "partial 16S ribosomal RNA". It matches the Rfam family "Bacterial small subunit ribosomal RNA", at positions 28 to 507 of the family's 1533-position model. The record is from RNAcentral.